GAAAAAACAGAGAGAAAAGAAAACCAAAAACAUUUCUUGGCUGGCUUGAAGAGAUUCUAAGGAGAUCCAAAUGAAAUCAAAGCCAAAGUAGUGGAUUAAGCUUAGUUUUGGCCUUUUUAUGAUAUUUCUUGGUGGUUUCCAAGUGGUUUGAGGUUUAGAAAGGCUAGAAGAGAUUAUUUUCGCCGAAAAGUUGCUCGGUAGAGAAACAAAUGAGUGAAUGACAAAGGAGAACUGAAGCUUGGUCCUGACCCUGAUUUGUACAUAUGAACAUAUCGACCUUUUGUGGAUUAUUUCAGUUUAUCAGUGUGUGUGUUUGUAAUAAAGUGUGGCGUUAUGUUUUGAAAACAAAUUGAGUUAUUUAAUACUUAUGUAUAAUAUGUUUGAGACACACUUUAUGUUUAAUGUAAAUAAUGUGAAAUAAGUUUUUUAAAAAAAUCCAGACUUCCGCUGAAAGUAAUUAUGAUAUAGUUUUAAAACGUAACACCUCAUAUAUGGUUUUAACUAAAAUAAGUGAGGGUAUUAC
Molecule: long non-coding RNA, 523 nt
Organism: Humulus lupulus (European hop)
Lineage: Eukaryota; Viridiplantae; Streptophyta; Magnoliopsida; Rosales; Cannabaceae
Exons: 3
Source: RefSeq, a predicted model, not a curated record